Molecule: long non-coding RNA, 827 nt
Organism: Pipistrellus kuhlii (Kuhl's pipistrelle)
Lineage: Eukaryota; Metazoa; Chordata; Mammalia; Chiroptera; Vespertilionidae
Exons: 3
Source: RefSeq, a predicted model, not a curated record
UCACCGCUACCUUCUCUAAAGCAGAAAUCACUCCUUAGGAGUCACUUUGUCUUAUCUUCAGUAAGACAUAUUUUAAUAUAUGAUCAGUAAUUGACACAAAGCAUUCUAGGACAGACACCAUACUAUUAUCUCCCACAUUGAUAUUUAUUACAUUCUAGCAAAAACAAGUAACAAGUUCAAUAACUGAAUUCACAUUAACAGGUUUCAUUUUGAUCCAUUAGCCAAUCUGGAAAAAAGCCAUAUUGAUCAAAGGGAUUAAAAGUAAAAAGCACCUUUUCCUUGCUACAUAUAAUAUUUAACACAAUGGCCCUGAAACGCCAAACAGCUAUCUGAUACAAAAUCCAACUGUAGGAUUCUCAUUUUAAUUAAGACUACAACAUGGAUUUGUCUCUUAUAUUUUUAAGGGUUAUACAGUUAUUAAAAAAAUGUUUUAACUAUUUGGCUUAAAAUGAAAAUACACCUGUGAGAACUAUACUCCAUAGUUAAUACCUUUGUACUGAAUUCUCAUGUCACUUGGAACCUUAACCUAGUCUAAACUUGAGAUAACUUACAACUAUCACUUUUUAGAAACAUUUUUUGGUACUUCAGUCAAGUGUGAGGAGAUUUUAUUCUAAAAUCUAGGGCUAGAAUUUAAACUUCCAUCCUUGGGCAACACCAUUAUGACUACUGAGAAAUCCAGAUACCUCAUCAACAUUUCAGAGCUAUGCCUGAUAAGUGACAUUUGAAGAUUAAUAUAGAAUUAACAGAAUUUAUACUCUUGAGCCCACCUAAACCCAUAUUUAGGUUUUAUAUUUACAGUAUUGUCCCGGAGGAAUGAGAGUUACACU